Eriocheir sinensis (Chinese mitten crab) is the source of this 387-nucleotide long non-coding RNA. RefSeq lists it as uncharacterized. The record is from RefSeq and is a predicted model, not a curated record. The transcript is spliced from 3 exons. Lineage: Eukaryota; Metazoa; Arthropoda; Malacostraca; Decapoda; Varunidae.
UCUCCUAGGUGAACUGCUCACGCUAACGAGCUCCACCUGCCCGGGUUUGUUGUUCGGAGUUUGCUCUCCUAGGUGAAUUGCCUACCACGGCUAACGACCUCCACCUGCCCGGGUUUGUUUAGAGUUUGCUCUCCUAGGUGAAUUACCUCCCACGGCUAACGACCUCCACCUGCCCGGGUUUAUUGUUCGGAGUUUGCUCUCCUAGGUGAAUUGCCUACCACGGCUAACGACCUCCACCUGCCCGGGUUUAUUGUUCGGAGUUUGCUCUCCUAGGUGAAUUGCCUACCACGGCUAACGAGCUCCACCUGCCCGGGUUUAUUGUUCGGAGUUUGCUCUCCUAGGCAGACUGCCUACCACGGCUAACGAGCUCCACCUGCCCGGGUUUGU